UUGGUUUUUUAUUGUAAUAUUAUUAUUCAUAUUGUUUAAUAAUAAAGUCAUUCAUUCAUUCAUUGCCUAAUGUUUUUUUUUCAUACUUUAAUCAGUGUUUACCUCCCCUGUUAUUCAAACAUCUUAGUGGUAAAUGAGCAGGGGACCGCUAUGAUGUAAUCUUUUCACAAAUGUAGUUUCUGAUAUGAUGGAGUUUCAGGCAACUCUGUGGUUAGCUUUUUUUAAUGGCAUAAUGAAGGCUGUAGUUAAACUUGACAACCCUGCAAUCAGCCAACCAGCUCGACCACACAUUCAGUUUAACUCUUAACAACACUGCAGCCAUCGUGACUGAACACACACAGAGAGAGGGAUCCUGUCAGGACUGGCUACGAUCCAGCCCCAUAUCUCAUGCCAACCCAGAGAGCUGUGAGGAGCAUGAGAUCAAAUGAAUUCCUGUGGCCUGCAUGCUGCUCACUGCUAUAAGGAAGUUUGGAGUGGGAGUACACAUGGACCACAGCUAUCGUACAACUGCGACCUGUUAUGUUUGCAGGCAAUGGAUACGUAGAGGCCGCCAAGUCACGGGUCAGCGUUGUCGCCAUAUUAGGGAAUGGCAGGAAGCCUUAUAAACACAAGAGCUGUGGUUUCUGGAUGAAAAUCACAAAAACCUUCACAUUUUUAAACCGAUUCCAAUGGUUUACGAUCUAAGUGGAGUACAAAAACAUUCUGUCUCCACUUUGAAUUUCGAUAGUUACACUUGGAAAAUGGUUCAUUCUCAUAAAGAAUUGUGAAAACUCAGGCUUGUCAAGCAGUGAUUUGCAUUAUUUUUCUUGGUUAAUAAUUGAGCAUCCAUAAGGUAAUAUCAUUUAAUGUUUAUGAUAUGUGGCUUUUUCUGUCAUGGUUUUAGCUUUUCUUUUACGGGUCAGAACAGAACACGGCUCAUUCACACAAAUCAAAUAGUGACAGUCAGUCUGCUUAGUAUAU
Misgurnus anguillicaudatus (oriental weatherfish) is the source of this 960-nucleotide long non-coding RNA. RefSeq lists it as uncharacterized. Lineage: Eukaryota; Metazoa; Chordata; Actinopteri; Cypriniformes; Cobitidae. The record is from RefSeq and is a predicted model, not a curated record.